AGGCCCAAGAGUUAUCCAAAAAGAUUUGCAAGAUUUUUUGUUGUUCUCAGUAAUUGCUGAACUACUUUUGAUCAAACUUUCCUAAAACCUUCACCCUUGGCCAAAGAUCCCAUCUGGAAAACGUCACCUAGAAAGCUCUACUCACGCCAUCAACACUUGAAAGACAAAGGAAGCAUCAUUGAGCUCGCAGAGGUGUCUGACUCAGAGGAAUCCAACCAGACUGGUGUAAUCAUAUGACAUGACAGAAUCUUUGACCAACUGCUACCAAAAUCCACUUGUUUCUUUUUGUGGAAGGAGGCAAUCUGUACCAGAG
Molecule: long non-coding RNA, 313 nt
Organism: Trachemys scripta elegans
Lineage: Eukaryota; Metazoa; Chordata; Testudines; Emydidae
Exons: 3
Source: RefSeq, a predicted model, not a curated record